CGCUCAACACAGCUGUGCUGCCAGUUGCAAGGAGCCUCAUUCUAGAUCGUUCCUGAGCCUGAUGGAUUUACAGUGAUGUCCAAAUCUCCUGGGGAA
Ictidomys tridecemlineatus (thirteen-lined ground squirrel) is the source of this 96-nucleotide non-coding RNA. The record is from Rfam. Lineage: Eukaryota; Metazoa; Chordata; Mammalia; Rodentia; Sciuridae.